RNAcentral lists this unclassified non-coding RNA (4244 nucleotides) under Leishmania donovani. RNAcentral describes it as "gene:LdHU3.27.1680(CDS-product:hypothetical_prote in_conserved)". The record is from RNAcentral. Lineage: Eukaryota; Euglenozoa; Kinetoplastea; Trypanosomatida; Trypanosomatidae.
CUGUUUCCUGGCGCGAGCCCCGCAUUUGGCUUGCCGCGUUGGCAUUGCGUACGUGGUGUAAGAGCCGAGGCCCUCUGGGGCGCAGCGGUGCCCUCGCCCCACCACCGACUGGUGACUUACCACUUCGUCUUUCGAAAGUCUUCUCUUCUUUGGCCCUUAGGGCCAUCGACAUAUGCUGCGUAGAAUCGGAUCUCGCUACGGGAAGAGAUUCUCUUUCUUCUGCCGGAACGUGCGCGCCGUCCCGCAGCCGGAAAAGGCGGAGCGCGGUGGCGAAGACGCGUUCCUAUCCUUAUCUAAUGUGCAGGCGGUGCUGGAUGGCGUGAGUUGGUGGAAGGAGAACGCGGACUUGAACGCUGGCCUUUACAGCGCCGCAUUGGCGCGGUGCAUGUACGAGUACGUCGAGGAUGAGCUCCUUGGCGAUGCCCCGGCGAGUUCCUUUCGUCUGCUUGAGCGCGGCUACGAAAGUUGCAAGCAUAGCGAUGUGUUAGGCACGUGUACUGCCCUGGUUGCGACUCUACAAGAGCCGCAAGAGGAUAUUCAGUCGAAGGACCACUAUGAGGUGGUACUGCUGGAUGGACCAUCACUGCCGAUCGUAGGUGUCUCCACCACUGGUGGACCGCUUGCAGCCACAUAUGCUGCUUCAGCCGCUGCCGCCGCCACCGCAGCGGUCGCAGCUGCGGAUGAUACAAUGAGCAGCGCGGAAACAGCCAAGGAGUCCGCCUCUGACUCCGAUGCCGCGGCCACGCGGGUGAAGAUGACAACAGACCUGCACCAAGCCUUCGCGCGGUUUCAACGCACGGACGGCGCGGAAAACUACUUGCUGGACGUCGUCUACGUUGGCGACUGCACAAUGAUGCUGAUCCGUAACGGACGAGUAUGUUACGUUACUGAGGAGCAGGCACACCAACUGGACUACCCCUACCAACUGGGCACCGGUAGCAACGACACGCCGAAGGAUGGCGUUCGUCUUCUCAUACCAGUGGAGAAGGGGGAUGUCGUCGUAAUGGGCACCGAUGGUGUUUUCGACAACUUGUACCCGAACCGAAUAGCGGAGCUGAUAUGGCCGCAUCUGGAACGUGUCUUCUGUCAGCACGGCUAUCUGCAAGCGCUGGGCGGUGCUGCGACGGCAAAGGCAUCGGCAAACUCGGUGAGCUACGUGAAGAAUCGCAACCUUCGCACGCUUCUGGACGACAUCAUGGCGGCGCUCGACAUGAGUGCGAACGCUGUCAUGGUCGACGCUAUAGCCGUCUCUCGCGACGUGCGCUGCGACUCCCCGUACGCCUCCAAGUGCAUAGAGAAUGGCGCCCUCUUCGAGGGCGGCAAGCCAGACGACAUGACGCUGCUAAUAUCCGUGAUCGGCGAGAGCGCCGACGACGAGCCCAGCGAGCAGUUCUCCGGCAGUGAGGCGGCAUUCCCACUGCCGUACCGCGACUGGCCAUGAGCACGGAAAAGGAAAAAAAAACGCUGUGCUUUCUCUCUCCGUCAUGGGUGCGACACGACGCGCAGCAGGCAGAGAUGAACAGAGACGGAAAGUGUGAGGCGACAGUGAAUGCCAUGGUACCUACCCAGCCGGGCGGCUGCUCGAACACUAUUCGCAAACUCAGCUGGGAAUGAGGGCAUACAUCACCCUCACGUCCGUGUCUCUCUCUCUCUCUGCGUGCACAUAUGUGUCUUUCGCCAAGAGGUGAACCUGCGUGACAUCAUAACCUCGUCGACCAGCGCACCUGCCUCCUUCCCCCUUUCCCUUUGUCUCUCGCUCUCUUCAUUGUGUCUUGUUCCCUUACCCGUGUGCCGCUUCGCGCACCUGGCUGCUCGGCUCUGAAAGACCGUUCGAGGAAAUACCGACGUCUUUUACCUAGUAUACAUCCAUUUCUGUAUCUGACGUCUGUAUGUAUGUGUUCCUGUGCCUGACUCUCUCUCUCUCGUGCCCUUUUUUGUGCCCUCUUCUGCUGACCCGCGCUCACGCCUUUUUGGUCUCUUUUCUUGUUGCCCCGUCUCUUGCGCUUUCUUGCUCUCCCUGUGACGAUGCUGUGUAUCCGCCCUCCUUGCUCCAUAUCACACUCGCGCAAUGAAGGAUGUGCGUAGGUGCAUGUCGUUGAGCCCAUAGGUAUGUUUGUGUGUUCUUAGUUGAUCUAGGAGACAAGAGAGGAGAGGGAGGGAGGGGGGGGGUCAGGGCGCCGGCGGGCGGUGUGUGUAAAGUGGGGUGUGCGGAGGGUGGUGGGAGAAGCAGAAUGACAUGCCAGCGGCAGGCUACGUGAGCGAUUCGCUAUGCCGUCCUUCUGUUGCUGCCUCUGUUUGUACUCUGUACUUCCUCUCCUUCACCUUUCUCCCUUCGCCCGCCGCUGUUCGGUCGUCUUUGAGCGACCGUGACGCAGCGAGCGCGUAGCUCACGAAGGCCUCCCCUGCGCUCGUUUCUGCUCGAUUCCAGCCGCCCCUCUGGCUCUCCUCUCUCCUCGCUUUCCGCUUUGUCGUGUUUUUUUUUUCGUCUUCAAUCGACCGCGUGAUGGAGGCGGAAGCACCCCUCAGCGCGUCGUGUCGCAGGGCCCAGCACACACACCACUCUGUGUGUGUGUGUGUGUGUGUGUGUGUGUGUGUGUGUGUGUGUGUGUGUGUGUGUGUGUGUGUGUGUGUGUGUGUGUGUGUGUGUGUGUGUGGCUGUGGGGAAGCGAGCCAGCCCCCCAACCCCUAAACCCCUGCCAAGUGCCCCAGCCACCUCGGGUGGUGGCGGGGCCCAGCACCGACGACGUAGGGGAGGUCAGAGCGAUGUAUCGCUGCUGAUGUCGCUGCCGAGGUUGUGGAGGGCGUGGCGCCGGAGCGGCCAGCGUGGCUCGAACACAUCUCCCCCCUCUCCCUCCCCCUCCGGGGCCCUCACUCUGCCCAGCGGUGCAGGGAGCCUGCACCACUCUCAAGGAGGGUGCGGCUGUGUAGCGCUUGGGACGGAGGCCGUACCCAGAUGGCUGUGUUGGCGCAGUGCUGUACCGUGUAUGCCUACCGCUGCCUCGCGCCAGGCCAUGUGGGCCGGUGUGACGGGGCCGGCUGGAGGGGAGUGGAGUGGCGUGCAGCUCGCGUUGCACGGGCAGAGCAAGGUGCACACGAUGAAACAAAACAGAGCAGAGAAAUACAACAAGAGGUCUCUUUAUCGCUGGUAUCUUCUCCAUCGUUUUUUUUUUCCCGUCCGAUGCGUGCUUCUGUCUGUCUGUGCCUUUGUGUGUGCGCCCCCGAGCGGGUCUGAGUCUGUCUUGUGUGAGUGAUAUCAUGCUAAGUGGCUAACCACAAGCAACAAACAACAAAAAACAAGAACAGGGAGAAGGGUGAGAACGAUGUAGGUCUCGUCUGUCUCCGCCGUUUUUUUUUUUUGUCAACGUGUGCUUCUGCUCUCCUCGCCGUCCCCUACUUUUUUUUUACCGGCCCUCCCUCUGCCCUCUCUCGCAGGUAGGUGUGGGUGGGAGCAUCCCUCGUCAACCAGGGAAGCGAAGUGUGUCUCUCAGUGGUUACAGUCGCAUCGUGCACGCUCCAGAAGCACCCAUACUCAUCUCUCUCGAUAUUGUCAUGAUACAACUUUUUGCUCUUUUUUUAUUCCACUUUACUGUGCCUGGGAAGGAGCUCAGAAGACGAGGAGUUGAGUACAGAAGCACGUGAAUGCCACAAAGGGCGCAAUGAAACCUCCUCUGAGACUGGGGAGGGAGAGGUAGGUGUGGGCGUGAGUGUGGGGAGCUCUCGACACGAGCUGAGGUAUUCUGGCAGGACCGCAGGAAGAGCAGCUCAAGCACGCACACUCACGCAAAGGGAGCGAAUGCGGCCAGAUUGGCACCAGAGAAGAGCCGCGGCGUUUUUCUUUUUUCUUCUCGAUCCACAUGAAGAGACUUGGACUCAUCUGCGAAGCAGCGCCCCUGUUUCGCUUUCGUUCCCUCCCUCUUAUUUUUUUUUUCGUAUAUUGCAAAGGACCUUACCGGCUUUUCUGCACGCAUACGCCUGCAUGGCCCAUUUUUUCGUGUGUGCGUGUGCGCCUUUGUUUUGUUUUGUCCAUUUAUACUGUCAUCGGCGGGAUGGGCGACGCUGCGGCGACAACCUCUUCAGGGCACUCACACUACGGCUCAAGUACAGCUGAUGGCGGAGGGGCAGCUGGGGAGUGAGGAAAAGAAAAUAAGAGGAGGGGGGCAGUGCAGACUCGUUCUUCUCCGCACAAGCGUUUGACGAGGCAGCUACGAGCUUACAGUGGGUUGGUGAAGAGUGCGUGUGCUUGU